Glycine soja is the source of this 762-nucleotide long non-coding RNA. RefSeq lists it as uncharacterized. The record is from RefSeq and is a predicted model, not a curated record. The transcript has 3 exons. Lineage: Eukaryota; Viridiplantae; Streptophyta; Magnoliopsida; Fabales; Fabaceae.
CGGAAGAGUGGAAUGGAACUCUACGACCUCCUAGUUUCUAUUUAGCGAAUUAGCAAUAAAUGAAAUAAAUUGGAUAGAAAAUAAUAAUUGGUCUUCCUAGGCCAAUUAACCUAAACAUCUUAUUACAAAGAGUUCGUUCCACGUAAGAAAAUCCGAUACCAUACUCUAACCCAAAAAGCUCAGGUUUAUGGGUCUUCCCCUUACUUAUAUGGUGUUCAACCUUUCCACUUUUAUUCGAUGUGGGACUUUAUGUCACACUUGUAACCCAACACAUGCCAAGGUCAUCAGUUAGUAAGUCUAGAUUGUACUAACAAACAUGUAGCUACAAAGAAGAUUGAAACGAACCGUUUCACUUAUAAAAAAAAUAUUAAAAUAACAAAACUCACUCCCCCCCUCAGCUUAAAACUCCCGAGACCUUUCUCCAUCUCUCCUUUCCCAAAAAUUUAAUCUCUCAAUCUUUCACCCAUCCCCUUCCAUUUUUCCAAAAUUUUAAAGCUUCUUGCAUCCUCGGGUCUUUCCAAGCACAAGAAUGUGACUAGAGAAAAGGGGAUCUUGUGAAAAAUACGGUGAUUGACUUUCCCAGCAACAGUGGAAGACAUUGAUUGCGUUCUUUAGGUGAAUAGCUAAUUUACUCAGCGACGUUUUUAAAGUUCCUUUGGGAGAAGCAAAUAAAUUUCAGAAUAUAUAUCUUUGACUUCCUAGGAUUUGCUGAUGUACCCAAAAAUUUGAUUAUCUUUUGGUAGGUCUCUUUUGUGUCUGAUG